RNAcentral lists this long non-coding RNA (698 nucleotides) under Mus musculus (house mouse). RNAcentral describes it as "long non-coding RNA chr6:64897852-64898550". Lineage: Eukaryota; Metazoa; Chordata; Mammalia; Rodentia; Muridae. The record is from RNAcentral.
UCACACUGGGGUGGCUGCCAGUGCUGCUAUCCUUUCCUUAGGGGUAGUGAUCUAAGAAAGAGUCAGCAAAGGAGAUGCACAUUACAUACCCUGAUUAUGCCUGUUUUGAAAGUAUGCCAAGUAAGUUUUUGUUGUUUUGGAAAGCAAAAGCUUUGUGUGUUAACUUAUUUUCAGUAUCUUAAACUUAUUUAUGAUUUGCUGACACAGUGAUUUAUCCAUCUAAACUAGAUACUUUUCCAUUUAAAACUAACUUAUAAAUGGUAUACUCUUGGGAAGAUAUAAACUCUUUUAGAAGUUUCCUGAAAUAUUUUCACCAUGAAGACAGACUUAGAUACUCUUUUGAUGCCACUAUCUGAUCUAAAUAUUUAUGAUAAAAUGUAUUAUUUUUUUAAAGAGCGUGAUGAGAUCUGUGAUAAAUGCUAGUACUCAAAACCCGAAUCCCCAAACCACAAGUUGUUGGUUAGCUCACUAAUUGAACAGACUGUACAGUUUGUUCUAGAAGUAAGUUUUUCAGCCUUACAGUCGUUAAUGUUCCUUUCUGAAAGGAAGACUAAACUUAAUGGGCUUAAACCAGGUGUGGUGGUUCAUGCCUUUAAUUUCAGUACUUGGGAGGCAGAGGCAGGAGGAUCUCUGUGAAGGCCAGCCUGGUCUGUAGAGUGAGAUCAAUGCCAUUAGUUACAUGAGUGAGACUCUGCAGU